CUGAGAAUUGGAAAAGUACUGGCCCAGCUAAUCUGAGGCCUUACACCUGCAAGGCCGCAGUGGCCCUGGGUAUAGCUGUAGUCUGAUAACAGGAUGAUGUAGCCGAGAGCAGAGCAUGAGAAAAGGGAGAUGUAAGUUGUAAAGAAUGAAGAAGUAAGAAUAACCAAUAGACUGCUUAGCUUACAGAAUAUGCAUGAGCUUAUUACAUGUUGUGCUUAAAUGUCUGAUGCUCUAAUCAAUAAACGAAGCUUGCCGAUUCUCACAUUGAGAUGACCCGAGCUUCCUGCACUGUGACAAAUGGCGCCUCGAACAGAGACCCUAAAAGAGGGGGGAGGCGAAAGGGCUGGUGCUCCGCGCCUUGAACAAGGACCCUAGAGAGGGGGGUUGGCAAAAGAGCUGGUGGUCUCCGUGCCCCGAGUGACCCUACAGAGGAGUCUCAGCUUGAACCUGUUGGCCACGGUCCAGUGCAGUAUCCGUGUCGGUCCCGAAGCAGCACGGGAGGCAAAGAGCUGGUACUCCGGCCCCGAGCGACCCUAGAGAAGAGUCUCGGCCGAUGAACGCCGCCGACGUCUUGGAAGGGCUGCAACAGCGCUGACGUUUAAAUUGAAAGCCGGCAAUUGCAUUCACAGCGGUGCCGGCGGGAGUCGACCCUGUAUUACCCGUGCUGACCCCUCCCGUGGCCGCCUCCCCAGCAGAGCCCGUGAGAGCUCCGGCCGCGGCUGUCCUGCCAUCUCCCGUGUCGGCUCCACCAGCAGCUGUCUGCGCCUGCACUGCAGCUUUCGGCACCCGGAAAGGACGCGGCUGCCGUCCCCAACCCGGCAAGAGAUGCAUUUCCUUCAGCUUUGCAGCCCCCACCGACUCCCGCGGCGACCCCGCCUUCGCCUGCCGCGCCGGUGAAGAAGAUUGGAGUCGACAAUAGCGACCACCAAGCGGAACCGUCUUCAGAGCCACCCCUCUGCCCCCAACAGUAGCUGCCAGCGCCUGCAAUCAGCCAAGAUUCCCUCCCGAACUUUUCGAACUGUCCCGAGACUGCCCCUGCGGGGGCAGCUGAGACGGGGGGGAAGACGAGGAGGAGGGGGGGACGCCAUCCUGCCCCUGCGGUGCCGCAAGGGCCUGUGUAAAAACUCAGCGUUUUUUGCAAGCCGAUUCGAGUCUAGUUUAGAAGUUGCCAUUAAAGUUUAAAAUGCUUAAAUUCCCCUGCUUGCCCCAGCGGCCUAGAGAAAGUAACUCCUAAAAGUUCUGCCUCUGUUCCCCAGCCCGGGUGGGGGGGGGGGGAGGUGAGAGUAGUACCAAAGAGCUGUAAAUUAACCCUGUGAGUACACCAAAGGGAACUGCGUAACUGUAAAGAAUCUAAAAGCAUGUGCUAUAUAGACCUUUUUAACCAUUCACAGUCUAUUUACUCCCAGCUCUCUGAGUUGCAGAGGUUAACUAGAAACUUACAAGUAGAAUUAAGCUUUAGUGUUGAUAAAUAGCUCAAAACUUUAGGCCUAAGAUUAUAGCUUUGUUUUAUUCUUAAAGCUAAUAUUAUAAUAAGUAUUAUAGCUUUGUUAAUAUUAUUAGUUUUGCUUUGUUUUUGCAUGUGCUGAUAAAAAAUAGUAUAAAAAAUAAUAUUUAUUGCAUUUAAUCAAACAUUGCUUGUGCAAAAAGAAAACAGGGGAAUUGUUGGGAAUUGGUUACAUGACAAAGGUCACGUAGACAUGCUCUGGAUAGCUGAGAAUUGGAAAAGUACUGGCCCAGCUAAUCUGAGGCCUUACACCUGCAAGGCCGCAGUGGCCUUGGGUAUAGCUGUAGUCUGAUAACAGGAUGAUGUAGCCGAGAGCAGAGCAUGAGAAAA
This is a long non-coding RNA of Haemorhous mexicanus (house finch), 1834 nucleotides long. RefSeq lists it as uncharacterized. The transcript has 2 exons. Lineage: Eukaryota; Metazoa; Chordata; Aves; Passeriformes; Fringillidae. The record is from RefSeq and is a predicted model, not a curated record.